ACUCUAAAACCAAAUCCGCACCAGAGAUUUGUGUAAGGGGAUUCAUUUGACUCGGGGGGAAAGUGUUAGGCACUCCCCAAGUUCCGUAGCUAGUUCAAUUGGGUACUUGAUCUAGUCAGCUUUUAAUAUAUUUGAAGUGGGGUAAUAAAACACAAAAAGAAAAUGAACAAUCAACAGAGGCUCGAGGUCGUCCCCACCUAAAUGAAAGAAAAUUAAAUAUUAAAGUUUUAAAUUAUCCUACACUACUUCUUCUACGUUGUUCGUCACAGCCUCCAAUUACAUUCACUUUGGGGCGUAUCCUAAAAUAAUAAAAUAUAUAUAAAUCCCUCGGGACAUUCCCCGAGUAUUCAAAGAAAACGAUCAAGACAAGCAUGAACGCAUGUCAAACCGUACUAUUUCACAAUCGAUUGAACAUCAAUCAUUCAGGUCACAAGUCAAACAAUUCGAGCCAAAAGGCAUUCCAAAACAUUUAAGUAUAACUCCAAUACUUGUUCGCACAAAUCAUCCCUCAACCCAUCCCCUUUCCAAAUUGACUCAAACACUUUCCAAAUUUGACAAAUCUAUGGCUCUUAUCAUGUUUCAAUCACCAUUACCAAGAAUAAGAAGGAAAGAGGUGAACUUGAAACUGCAAAAUGCUUCAAUUAAGUUUGUUCGAAAUUGAAUAUAAGUGAAAUCCACACUGAAAUUUUGAAGUAACAGCAGCAGACAAAUAGGAAUUGUACCAGCGACACGGCAGCGAUAUGAACCACGAACAAAACCUCUCGAGCAGUUGACGGACCUUAGCUAAACUUCAUUUCUUGUUACGUAAAUCAGAAGCUGAUAUUAUUCAUUUUUUUGGAAUUUUUUGUUUCGAAAAUUAAAAAAAUACUUAUAGAGAGCUCUAAGAUUUUUGUAUGCCAUGACCUAAAAAUUUGAAAGAAGAACCUGAAAAUCAGAAAACCCUAGCCCCUCUUCUUUUUCCCCAUUCCUUUCUCCUUUAUACGUCUCAAGAACCCCUUAUUUAUAUGAGCCAUAGAAAUUUCUAUUCUUCUUCUGCAAGAAAAUCUGAAAAAAUCCUUCAAAAUUCCUAAAUCCAUUUGUUGAAGAAAGUAAGGGAUAAAUGGAGGGAGUAGAUUGAGCUAGAACUCAAUCUUACGCUCAUCAUUCAUCCUCCCUCGCCUUAAACGGAUCGUGUGAACGAAGAGCGUGUGAGAGGGAUGGAAUCUUCUUGUCAGAAGUCGUUAUGGUCUUGAUAACAUGGAAGAAGGAAAGGAGAGAAGGGGGGACCAUGAGAGAGGUUUUUGUGUGGUCUUGUUAUGGCUGAAACGCGGCUGGGAUGGCGUGAAGUGGGGGCGCCGUUUGGGUGGAGUUACAUUAGGGUAGGGUUUGAAAACAUUAGGUUUUUAUAUUAUGGUGGGGAUGAAUUGUGGUCGUUGGAUCCAAGGGUUUGGACAGCUGAGAUUAAAACAAAUUGGGGUGGGUUGGUGGGUUGGAUCCAGCUGGGUAAGGGAUUAGGUGAGGAGUGCAAAGAGGUAUGGGUUUUGUGGGCUAGGGAUUAACUGGGAUUGGGC
RNAcentral lists this long non-coding RNA (1550 nucleotides) under Nicotiana benthamiana. RNAcentral describes it as "long non-coding RNA (NBEN_LNC025502)". The record is from RNAcentral. Lineage: Eukaryota; Viridiplantae; Streptophyta; Magnoliopsida; Solanales; Solanaceae.